GUCCGACUAGCUCAGUCAGUAGAGCAUGAGACUCCUAUUCUCAGAGUCGUGGGUUCAAGCCCCACGUUGGGCG
Non-coding RNA from Hemiscyllium ocellatum (epaulette shark), 73 nucleotides. Lineage: Eukaryota; Metazoa; Chordata; Chondrichthyes; Orectolobiformes; Hemiscylliidae. The record is from the annotation of a RefSeq genome assembly.